Molecule: ribosomal RNA, 526 nt
Filed under: Platypelis tsaratananaensis (Tsaratanana giant treefrog)
Lineage: Eukaryota; Metazoa; Chordata; Amphibia; Anura; Microhylidae
Description: partial large subunit ribosomal RNA
Source: RNAcentral
AAGCAGCCUCACAGGGCUAACCCGUCUCUGUAGCAAAAGAGUGGGAAGACUUUAGAGUAGAGGUGACACACCUACCGAGCUUAGAGAUAGCUGGUUAUUCAAGAGAAGGAUCUUAGUCCAACUUUAAGUUUUCAAGUACUAUCAAACAUUCUACAAACUUAAAAGUCAUUCAAAUAAGGUACAGCCUAUUUGAAACAGGAGACAGCCUACAACACAGGGUAAUGACUUAUUAUAUGUGACUAAGUAGGCCUAAAAGCAGCCAACUUCCAAAAAGCGUCCAAGCUUCAUCACAGCCCUUCAUCAAUUCCACAGUUAAUUCACAACCCCCAACCACCACUGAAUAUUUCUAUAUCCUAUGGAAAAUAUCAUGCUAGAACUAGUAAUAAGAAAAGAACUUCUCCAAAAUGUAAAUGUAAGCCAAAAUGAACCCUCACCGGCACUUAUCGCAUAAACCUGCAGUAUUAACAUUACAAGAAAAUUGUACUCCAACUGACGUUAACCUUACACUAGAAUAUUCCUGGAAAGA